RNAcentral lists this microRNA precursor (91 nucleotides) under Caenorhabditis remanei. The record is from RNAcentral. Lineage: Eukaryota; Metazoa; Nematoda; Chromadorea; Rhabditida; Rhabditidae.
GCCCGUGUGGAGUGACGAUGUUCAGUUAUGGAUACGUGGAAAUGAAGAAAAUAUAGGAAACGUAUGCCUAACUGAGUAUCAUCACUACGCA